UACAGAGGGUGCGAGCGUUAAUCGGAAUCACUGGGCGUAAAGCGCACGUAGGCGGCUUUUUAAGUCAGGGGUGAAAUCCUGGAGCUCAACUCCAGAACUGCCUUUGAUACUGAGAAGCUUGAGUCCGGAAGAGGUGAGUGGAACUCCGAGUGUAGAGGUGAAAUUCGUAGAUAUUCGGAAGAACACCAGUGGCGAAGGCGGCUCACUGGUCCGGUACUGACGCUGAGGUGCGAAAGCGUGGGGAGCAAACAGG
Molecule: ribosomal RNA, 253 nt
Filed under: uncultured bacterium
Lineage: Bacteria
Description: partial 16S ribosomal RNA
Rfam family: Bacterial small subunit ribosomal RNA
Source: RNAcentral